This 1078-nucleotide ribosomal RNA is filed under the name gamma proteobacterium UST061013-010. Its description in RNAcentral is "bacterial SSU rRNA". It matches the Rfam family "Bacterial small subunit ribosomal RNA", at positions 55 to 1122 of the family's 1533-position model. Lineage: Bacteria; Pseudomonadati; Pseudomonadota; Gammaproteobacteria. The record is from RNAcentral.
AUGCAGUCGAGCGGCCAGCACAGGUGAACUUGUUCCCUGGGUGGCGAGCGGCGGACGGGUGAGUAAUGGCUGGGAACCUGCCCUGAUGUGGGGGAUAACAGUUGGAAACGACUGCUAAUACCGCAUGAUGUCUACGGACCAAAGAGGAGGACCUUCGGGCUUCUCGCGUCAGGAUGGGCCCAGUUGGGAUUAGCUAGUUGGUAGGGUAAUGGCCUACCAAGGCGACGAUCCCUAGCUGGUUUGAGAGGAUGAUCAGCCACACUGGAACUGAGACACGGUCCAGACUCCUACGGGAGGCAGCAGUGGGGAAUAUUGCACAAUGGGCGCAAGCCUGAUGCAGCCAUGCCGCGUGUGUGAAGAAGGCCUUCGGGUUGUAAAGCACUUUCAGCAGUGAGGAAGGUGGUGUAGUUAAUACCUGCAUCAUUUGACGUUAGCUGCAGAAGAAGCACCGGCUAACUCCGUGCCAGCAGCCGCGGUAAUACGGAGGGUGCGAGCGUUAAUCGGAAUUACUGGGCGUAAAGCGCAUGCAGGCGGUCUGUUAAGCAAGAUGUGAAAGCCCCGGGCUUAACCUGGGAACCGCAUUUUGAACUGGCAGGCUAGAGUCUUGUAGAGGGGGGUAGAAUUUCAGGUGUAGCGGUGAAAUGCGUAGAGAUCUGAAGGAAUACCGGUGGCGAAGGCGGCCCCCUGGACAAAGACUGACGCUCAGAUGCGAAAGCGUGGGGAGCAAACAGGAUUAGAUACCCUGGUAGUCCACGCUGUAAACGAUGUCUACUUGGAGGUUGUGACCUAGAGUCGUGGCUUUCGGAGCUAACGCGUUAAGUAGACCGCCUGGGGAGUACGGUCGCAAGAUUAAAACUCAAAUGAAUUGACGGGGGCCCGCACAAGCGGUGGAGCAUGUGGUUUAAUUCGAUGCAACGCGAAGAACCUUACCUACUCUUGACAUCCAGAGAACUUUCCAGAGAUGGAUGGGUGCCUUCGGGAACUCUGAGACAGGUGCUGCAUGGCUGUCGUCAGCUCGUGUUGUGAAAUGUUGGGUUAAGUCCCGCAACGAGCGCAACCCUUAUCCUUGUUUGCCAGC